UACGGGCCGCAAGGCCAGUGGCGCAAGGGUGAGUAAGGCGACGGUAACCAACCCCGUGAUUGGGUAUAGCCGCGGGAAACUGCGGGUAAUCCCCAGCGAUGUUCCGGGAGGGCAUCCUUCCAGGACCAAAGCUCCGGCGUCGUGGGACGGGCCGUCGUGGUAUUAGGUCGUUGGCGGGGUAACGGCCCACCAAGCCUGCGAUGCCUACCGGGCGUGCGAGCGUGGCCCGGCACACUGGGACUGAGACACUGCCCAGACUCCUACGGGAGGCUGCAGUCGAGAAUCUUCGGCAAUGGGCGCAAGCCUGACCGAGCGACGCCGCGUGGAGGAUGAAGGCCUUCGGGUUGUAAACUCCUGUCGAGGGGGAAGAAGGGUCGAAAGACCUUGACUUAUCCCUGGAGGAAGCACGGGCUAAGUUCGUGCCAGCAGCCGCGGUAAGACGAACCGUGCGAACGUUAUUCGGAAUCACUGGGCUUAAAGCGCGUGUAGGCGGGACGGCACGUCGGUCGCUGAAAUCCCCCGGCUCAACCGGGGAACGGGCGCCGAUACGACCGUCCUGGAGGGACGUAGGGGGACCUGGAACUUCCGGUGGAGCGGUGAAAUGCGUUGAGAUCGGAAGGAACGCCCGUGGCGAAAGCGAGGUCCUGGACGUUUACUGACGCUGAGACGCGAAAGCCAGGGGAGCGAACGGGAUUAGAUACCCCGGUAGUCCUGGCCGUAAACGAUGGGCACUGGGGUAGGGGGCUCGCCGAUGGGCUCCCUGCCGCAGGGAAAACCGUG
Molecule: ribosomal RNA, 780 nt
Filed under: uncultured Planctomycetia bacterium
Lineage: Bacteria; Pseudomonadati; Planctomycetota; Planctomycetia
Description: bacterial SSU rRNA
Rfam family: Bacterial small subunit ribosomal RNA
Source: RNAcentral